UGUGAGCUCGAUGAGUAGGGCGGGACACGUGGUAUCCUGUCUGAAUAUGGGGGGACCAUCCUCCAAGGCUAAAUACUCCUGACUGACCGAUAGUGAACCAGUACCGUGAGGGAAAGGCGAAAAGAACCCCGGCGAGGGGAGUGAAAAAGAACCUGAAACCGUGUACGUACAAGCAGUGGGAGCCUCUUAAUGGGGUGACUGCGUACCUUUUGUAUAAUGGGUCAGCGACUUAUAUUCUGUAGCAAGGUUAACCGAAUAGGGGAGCCGAAGGGAAACCGAGUCUUAACUGGGCGUUAAGUUGCAGGGUAUAGACCCGAAACCCGGUGAUCUAGCCAUGGGCAGGUUGAAGGUUGGGUAACACUAACUGGAGGACCGAACCGACUAAUGUUGAAAAAUUAGCGGAUGACUUGUGGCUGGGGGUGAAAGGCCAAUCAAACCGGGAGAUAGCUGGUUCUCCCCGAAAGCUAUUUAGGUAGCGCCUCGUGAAUUCAUCUCCGGGGGUAGAGCACUGUUUCGGCAAGGGGGUCAUCCCGACUUACCAACCCGAUGCAAACUGCGAAUACCGGAGAAUGUUAUCACGGGAGACACACGGCGGGUGCUAACGUCCGUCGUGAAGAGGGAAACAACCCAGACCGCCAGCUAAGGUCCCAAAGUCAUGGUUAAGUGGGAAACGAUGUGGGAAGGCCCAGACAGCCAGGAUGUUGGCUUAGAAGCAGCCAUCAUUUAAAGAAAGCGUAAUAGCUCACUGGUCGAGUCGGCCUGCGCGGAAGAUGUAACGGGGCUAAACCAUGCACCGAAGCUGCGGCAGCGACACUAUGUGUUGUUGGGUAGGGGAGCGUUCUGUAAGCCUGCGAAGGUGUACUGUGAGGUAUGCUGGAGGUAUCAGAAGUGCGAAUGCUGACAUAAGUAACGAUAAAGCGGGUGAAAAGCCCGCUCGCCGGAAGACCAAGGGUUCCUGUCCAACGUUAAUCGGGGCAGGGUGAGUCGACCCCUAAGGCGAGGCCGAAAGGCGUAGUCGAUGGGAAACAGGUUAAUAUUCCUGUACUUGGUGUUACUGCGAAGGGGGGACGGAGAAGGCUAUGUUGGCCGGGCGACGGUUGUCCCGGUUUAAGCGUGUAGGCUGAUUUUCCAGGCAAAUCCGGAAAAUCAAGGCUGAGGCGUGAUGACGAGGCACUACGGUGCUGAAGCAACAAAUGCCCUGCUUCCAGGAAAAGCCUCUAAGCAUCAGGUAACAUCAAAUCGUACCCCAAACCGACACAGGUGGUCAGGUAGAGAAUACCAAGGCGCUUGAGAGAACUCGGGUGAAGGAACUAGGCAAAAUGGUGCCGUAACUUCGGGAGAAGGCACGCUGAUAUGUAGGUGAAGCGACUUGCUCGUGGAGCUGAAAUCAGUCGAAGAUACCAGCUGGCUGCAACUGUUUAUUAAAAACACAGCACUGUGCAAACACGAAAGUGGACGUAUACGGUGUGACGCCUGCCCGGUGCCGGAAGGUUAAUUGAUGGGGUUAGCGGUAACGCGAAGCUCUUGAUCGAAGCCCCGGUAAACGGCGGCCGUAACUAUAACGGUCCUAAGGUAGCGAAAUUCCUUGUCGGGUAAGUUCCGACCUGCACGAAUGGCGUAAUGAUGGCCAGGCUGUCUCCACCCGAGACUCAGUGAAAUUGAACUCGCUGUGAAGAUGCAGUGUACCCGCGGCAAGACGGAAAGACCCCGUGAACCUUUACUAUAGCUUGACACUGAACAUUGAGCCUUGAUGUGUAGGAUAGGUGGGAGGCUUUGAAGUGUGGACGCCAGUCUGCAUGGAGCCGACCUUGAAAUACCACCCUUUAAUGUUUGAUGUUCUAACGUUGGCCCGUAAUCCGGGUUGCGGACAGUGUCUGGUGGGUAGUUUGACUGGGGCGGUCUCCUCCUAAAGAGUAACGGAGGAGCACGAAGGUUGGCUAAUCCUGGUCGGACAUCAGGAGGUUAGUGCAAUGGCAUAAGCCAGCUUGACUGCGAGCGUGACGGCGCGAGCAGGUGCGAAAGCAGGUCAUAGUGAUCCGGUGGUUCUGAAUGGAAGGGCCAUCGCUCAACGGAUAAAAGGUACUCCGGGGAUAACAGGCUGAUACCGCCCAAGAGUUCAUAUCGACGGCGGUGUUUGGCACCUCGAUGUCGGCUCAUCACAUCCUGGGGCUGAAGUAGGUCCCAAGGGUAUGGCUGUUCGCCAUUUAAAGUGGUACGCGAGCUGGGUUUAGAACGUCGUGAGACAGUUCGGUCCCUAUCUGCCGUGGGCGCUGGAGAACUGAGGGGGGCUGCUCCUAGUACGAGAGGACCGGAGUGGACGCAUCACUGGUGUUCGGGUUGUCAUGCCAAUGGCACUGCCCGGUAGCUAAAUGCGGAAGAGAUAAGUGCUGAAAGCAUCUAAGCACGAAACUUGCCCCGAGAUGAGUUCUCCCUGAGACUUAGAGUCUCCUGAAGGAACGUUGAAGACGACGACGUUGAUAGGCCGGGUGUGUAAGCGCAGCGAUGCGUUGAGCUAACCGGUACUAAUGAACCGUGAGGCUUAACCUUACAACGCCGAAG
Molecule: ribosomal RNA, 2559 nt
Filed under: Escherichia coli
Lineage: Bacteria; Pseudomonadati; Pseudomonadota; Gammaproteobacteria; Enterobacterales; Enterobacteriaceae
Description: partial 23S ribosomal RNA
Rfam family: Bacterial large subunit ribosomal RNA
Source: RNAcentral